UCAUUGCCAAGACUUUCGUAUUCUAAAUAAAUGGUAUACCACAAAACCUAUUUUUGUUAGAACCACACAUAAUCCUAUAGGCCUAACUAUAAAUAGAGGCAACAAAGCUGCGCAUAGCGAGAGGUAAGAUUGUAUCACACAUAUUGGUUGCUUGCCUUCUAUCAAGAAACAUUCACGAGGACUCCAAGGUUCAAAUGGCUAAUGUCUGUGACAUUUGUGGUACUGGUGUAAUACUGUGAACCUUAUAUCAUGGACAAGUACCAAAAUUCUGGGCGAUAGUUCCAGACAGUCGUCGUUAUGGGAUUAAUGUACCUUCCUAAGACGUUAAGCAGUUUAGGUACUACAUCGAGCAACGAUAUUUCACAGCCGAGACUUCUCAUGGAUCUAGCUAGAGGAUGUGUGCGAGAGACAAUGGAGAUAGAAUUUGUAUAGAGGGCAUUGGAUGAGAUUGCUUUUGCUACGACUACGAUAUAAGAAGGGGAUACACGAUACAUUUUUGCUACAACUGUAGAGAUACUGUGAUGUAUAUAUCGCCAAUACAUCCAGAUGGUGAACCAAAGGAUAUAAUUAAUGACGUAUUUGACGAAGGAGAAAGACCUGUUGCGUACAACAAUAAGUUUAACUGAACACAAAGGCAAGUCGACAACAUGCACACUUUAUUGCAGAUGUAUGCGGACUAUCCUGCGAAGAUCCAUUUCUUUGCAACUGCCAACAUAUAUGGUAAUCAUUGGGUAAGUAAAAUACAAUAUCACCACUUCACAUUUUAAUAAAAUUUAUUCUUUUUUAAUGCAUGUAAUAUAUAGACCAAUAGUUGGGAGGCUUGGUCUACAACAAUAUGGUUCACUUUUACUGAAAUAAGCAGGCAAACACAGCAAUCAAUAGAAGUUGAUUAUCAUUCUAAAAGAGAUGGCCGUCUCGAAAUUAAUGGUCCUGCAUGGAGUAAUUUUGUAAGUCAACAUGAGAUAUAUGUUGAUGUGUGGGUAGUAAUACUUGUUAUUCCUGGAAACAAUAGGCCAGAAGUGACAUUGAGAUUCAAAGCAAUAACAAUAGUUUAAAGGCAAGUAUUAAGUUCUGAUGAAGAUUCUGAUUCGGAAGAUGAAGACUAGAACCAUUUUUUUAUAUAUUGUUUAGAAUAAGUUCUUUUUUAACUAUGUAUUACAAUGAUUUAUAUUUUUUUUUAGAAUAGGUUCUUUUUUAACUAACUACUACAAUUAUUUAUAUAAUUUUUGAGAGUGUGUAUUCCAAUUAUUCAUAUUUAUUUUUAGAGUAUGUGUUCUACAUCAACCAAUAAUACAGAGUACGUAUGGACAAAAAAAUUGGGCAUGACUUAUGCUAAAAAUGAAAACAUUCAAUGUCCAAAAUGUUGCGAAAAGGAAAUUAAUCAACUUUUGGCGAUACAUUAGACACUCCUUUGAAGCCCUGUUAAUCAAUUCAUCUAGAAUCUAUAUUUUUUGCUGUGUCAUCUACAAUCUAUAAUGACGUGCAUAUAAAUACCAUCAUUAAUCUAAAACCUAACAUGAAUCAAAUUUAAUUAUCUACACACUGCUUGCACGCGAGGCGGAUGAUAACCCACAAGUAUAGGGGAUCAAUUGUAGCCUUUCUCUAUAAGUAAGACUGUCAUGAGGAGCUAAAGGUAGAACAAAUAUUCCCUCAAGUUCUAUUGACCAUCGAUACAACUCUAUGCACGCUUAAUGUUCACUUUACCUAGAACCAGUGGCGAAUCCAGAACGAAAUUGGAGGGUGGGCUCAAAGUUAACGCCAAAAAAAUAAAACGUUCCUUUCAAGAGAAACAACAUCAUCUCAUAAUUCUUUUAUCCAAAUGAGCUGAGAAUAUCAACGAAUACCACUGUUCAAGAUAUCU
Molecule: long non-coding RNA, 1861 nt
Organism: Triticum aestivum (bread wheat)
Lineage: Eukaryota; Viridiplantae; Streptophyta; Magnoliopsida; Poales; Poaceae
Exons: 4
Source: RefSeq, a predicted model, not a curated record